CAAUAUUUCAAAUAAUCGAGGUCUAUUUGAACAAGUUUUCGGCUUUUAACCAGCCCUUGUUUUACCGCGUAGUGCAAAUUAGCCUCCUUAUGUCUUUAUCUGUUUGCAGAUGCAAUUUUUCCAGUUCCUUCUGGGGACACGAUUGCCGGAUUGCGAAGGGAAAUGCCUCGUCAAACAUGUUUCUGUGAACUAUGAAGGGUCAUGGUUCAGAGGAGUGGUAAUGGACAGAAGACCAGAUGGGCCAAGAGAAUUAUUUUCAGUGCUGUUGGUUGAUGUUGGUGUUGAAAUUAAGGACCUAACUGAUGACUUGAUUUAUCCACUACCCCAAGAAACCCAAGCACAUCAAAUUCAGGCUUUCUUAAUAGCUUUGCACGGGAUUGAACCACUUUCGGUUGAAGUUGACAUCAGCGUUGGCAAAACUGUCUUGGAGCCCUCUCAGGGUUGGGACCCGUACCAAGUUAGACUUUUUCAAAAUCUUCUGGAGAAUCACGAUGAAGCUUUUUUCAAAACAUCUAUUGUGAAAGAAAAUGUAAGGCAUGGCACUCUGUACAUAAUUAGAAACAAAGAAAGAAUCAAUGUAAACGAGACUCUAGUUCAACUGAAUCUUGCCCAGAACAAGAAUCAAGCGAUAGAUGUUUCCAAACAUUUAAUCCGAAACAGCAGCCAUUAUAAAUUUGUUAUAAGCAUACUCGGGCGUGAGAAGCAAGAAACAAGAUCCAAAUUCAAUCGGAGUGGCAUAGAUUGUGUAGGAUCACCAAGUGCCUCCUUCAAACUUUCAAGAGCCAGACAGCUUCAAACUGUUGAGGCAAGUGAAGAUAAUGUCACCUCUGAAGAUGGUAAUAAGAAUAAUCACUCUCGUGAGCGUAAUGAUUGUAUAGAACAGUCGGCAGAAAGUAGAGCUAAAACCUGUAUUUACCCUGCUGGUUUUCAACCUCUAAGUAAGAAAAAAAAACAACCAAGAUCUCCCAGAUUUGGAAGCUUAAUUCACAGCGCACAUAAUACAAGCUUGGGGAUGGAAGCAAGUACCUCUGUGCAACAAUUUUUGCCCGAGUCAUCAGGUAAUAAUUUAAAAUCAGCCAAGCCAAUUGAAAUUGAUCUUGAAUCGAAUAACAAGAAAACCUCCACAAAUGAAAGCACUAAUUCGUUGCUGUACAACAAAAAUGAGAAAGAAUUAUCAGGAGAAGAAAUUAAAAUCGCUUCAGCCAAGUCUAGUAAUAAACCGAAGGGUAGGAUAUGGAAUAAUGUCAUUGCUCCUUGUAGUCAAGCUAACGAUGAUAAGGGUGCAAGUAGUAGUGAUGAAUAUGAUGUUGAACUUCCUUCAAGGAAACCUUGUGCCACUAUUAAGGCGCAUGAACAGGAAUAUAAAAUACUGUCACUGUAUAAUAAAAGCCUCAAAAGAGACUCAACAGCAGUUUUUUCACAGUUAAAAGACUGUAAUCUCAUCUCUUCUUCAUUUAGUAAUGCAGGUGCAGAAGAUAAUUUUACCAAAAAUGAUGCCAUGGCUGACAAAUACCUAGCUAGUAACAGCUUCUCAAACUCCUCGUUCUCUGAGUGUGAUUCGCCAGCAGCUGCAACCUCGAAAAGUAUUAAUAUCGUUGUCAAUGCUCCAGUGCUAUCAAACACUGUGUUAGAAAACAGCCAUGCAUCUCCUCAGAUUGUCUCCUACGCCUCAAGUACCUCAAGCAGAGGAAAAACAAGACUUCAACUUGAAAGAGAAAGAUUAGCUGUGUCUCAUCAGAUGUCAGAGAAUACAACCGAGACUUCUGGUGGCAAAGGCCUCAUUGAAGGGAAUGUUGAAGCUGAAUUCAGUGACUCCUCAUCACAGAACAGUGCUUCUUGUUUUUACAAUACUGAAAAUCAGUGGGACACCUCUGUUACAAGUAGUAGAAGUGGACGAAGACUCUUGGACAACAACUCUCUUGCUAAUUCGAUGUCAGAGUUUGAAGACGUUUCUCGAAAGAAGCGGUCUGAAGAAUUCUAUUUGCAGUCAGAGAAAGUGCUUGUUCAUAAUAUUUUUGAUGCUGACAUUGAGGCUAUCAAAUCUUUUACAGACCUUGAUCUCCACCCAGAUGUAAAGAAUGCUUGUAGAAGGAUUGGUUGGACAUCUUUUCACAGAGCUCAAGCUUAUGCUUUUCCCUUGAUUCUCAACUGGAAUGAUGCUUUAAUUGUCGGUCAAUCACGCACUGGUAAAACUACAUCUUAUGUAAUACCCUUUGUUAGCUGUCUUCAUGCUGGCACUUCGUAUCAUCAGCUGAAGACAACCAAUUGCCCCAAGGUGGUCAUUGUUUGUGCAUGGUCAGUUGCUUGUGAGGCGGUGGAAAGCAAAUUUAAACAUCUUUUGGGCAGUUUCCAACACAAAAUAAAAGUAGUAAAAGCCUACAGCUGUGGAAAAUACAAGAAUCUGGAAAAUUGGUAAGGCUUUUCUUAAUCAGGCACGUCAGCAAGUGCUAACUUAGUUUGUUUUUAGUUAUUUAUAAUCUGUCCAUUAUUUUGCCUUCAUUUUUGUUUUUCUCUCCUUGUUCUCUCACCUGUCUUAAGUUUUACAAACAAUGUCUCACUUGACAGUGUAACAAGGCACGAAACCAAGUCCAACAAAAAACGUGUUUCCCCAUUGAAUUUCUCGUAGAAUACAUCAGACACAUUAAAAAUUGUGGCCACUUGACAGGGCACCAAAUUAAGUACCACAAUACAUGUUUCCUAUUGAUAGGACUUUUUUCAAAAUCGGCAAUUCCCCCCUCUCCACCGUGGGGGAUAAUCGUGCUAUAUUUUGGGGGCUGAUAGAGGAUCAUCUUAGAGACCCAAAAAUGGUCGGUUUUUCUAAUCUUAAACCCGGGAGUUUAGGGGGACGAGGGUCAAAUUCCAAAUGGAUGAAUGCUCCCAACUUUUGAACUGUACAUGCUAUUGCAAUUUUAUUUUUUGCGUUAGAUUUUGUGUAAAAGAUACUGCAAUUUUAAGUUGUCGAACUUGAUAUAAUGUCGGUUUUUGACCAAAUUGUGAUGAUCUUUCAAUGUAAAAUCCCCUUUUCUCGGCCCUUUUACGAAAGAUGCCGUGAACGCAUUGACAUUUCUCAAAUUCACUUCAUAAGUUAGAAAUGAGCCUUUUGGUGUGUAUGUCAAUUCAAAUUUCGUACUCACAAAAAACCUGAGUCCUCUUGAGUCAAGUGGAGCAGAAAAGUGAUUUUUAGAAUACUUUUCAGCAGAAGCAUUUUCAAGUGUGCUGAUCAAUUUUUGAUAAAAGGUGCCUUGUAUCCAUAGAGCAAGAAAAUGUGGGUAAAACAGUGCUGCAGCUAUCUGCCUAACGUUUUAGGUUGUUUCUUAGUGGCUGACAUUUAUUGUGGUUUUUGACGAGUUGGAAUUUCAAAUUAGCUAUUCAAAUUGCAGGUAACGAACGUUAAUUCUUUAUUCAUGACGUAUUUAGGCGGGUUUCAAUAUAUUUAAGGGGUUCUGUGUAAAAUUUUGAUGUGAAAACAUGUAGUCUAGAUGUCUAAUUCUUAUCCGGUCUUGUGGCCCAUUUCUAAAUUCAUCUCAUAAGAAUGAAAACAGCAUUUUUCUGUGUUUGUCAAGCUACGUUUGACUAGUUCAGAAGCACUUUGUAUCAAAUCAAGCCAACUUCCAGAUUUUGCUUAACAGUUGUUCUCAAUGACCGAUUCGACCUACAUUAUUCUGAUUUUUUUUACAAGCAGGAAGUUUGAACUAACUGUUUUUGUCAUAAACUACCAACAUAAAUUUCUUACUUAUGAGUCAAUUCCAGAAAUCGCUGUUGUAUUCAAUGUGUUAUGUGUGACAUUUUGAUGAAGAAACAUACUAUAAGAAGUUUUACUCUUUCGAACGAGCCAUUAAAAUUCCUUCCUUUCUUGCACUCCUGCCAGUACUGUAAAGUACCUCUCCUUAAUUUUGCAUUGUUUGGGCGACAGGAAGAUAAAAAUGCAAUUCCAUGUACAAGCGAGAUCGUUGUUCCUGCGAAAAGUAGUUUUCCAUAACCCACCAUACAUCACUCGAAAGACCACAGGAGAUAGUUCGGGCCUGGACUGGGGGGUAAACGGGGGGUCCAAUUUUAAAAAUCGGGGCUCCUUUCCGAAUCGCAAAUUAAUUGCAUCCAAAUUGAGGAGCAGAACACAUUUACAUCUUAAGUGACCCCCAAGAGUUCUAAUUGACCCCCCUGAACGGCAGAAAGUAACCCCCUGAGGUGGGGAGCUUCGCCCUCUCCAAAAAUUUCUCAAGAUUCCUCUUUGGUCGCAAAAUUGACGUUGAUUCUCCAGAAAAAGACAGUUUCCCAGGUAAUCAACCCCGAG
This 4291-nucleotide long non-coding RNA is filed under the name Bemisia tabaci. RNAcentral describes it as "lncRNA ENSSWEETPG011862". Lineage: Eukaryota; Metazoa; Arthropoda; Insecta; Hemiptera; Aleyrodidae. The record is from RNAcentral.